RNAcentral lists this ribosomal RNA (425 nucleotides) under uncultured Acidobacterium sp. Its description in RNAcentral is "bacterial SSU rRNA". It matches the Rfam family "Bacterial small subunit ribosomal RNA", at positions 959 to 1385 of the family's 1533-position model. The record is from RNAcentral. Lineage: Bacteria; Pseudomonadati; Acidobacteriota; Terriglobia; Terriglobales; Acidobacteriaceae.
ACGCGAAGAACCUUACCCAGGCUUGAACUGCGAGUGACCACUUCCGAAAGGGAGCUUCCGCAAGGACACUCGUAGAGGUGCUGCAUGGCUGUCGUCAGCUCGUGUCGUGAGAUGUUGGGUUAAGUCCCGCAACGAGCGCAACCCUUGUUUGCUGUUGCCAUCAGGUUAUGCUGGGCACUCUGCAAAGACUGCCGGUGAUAAACCGGAGGAAGGUGGGGAUGACGUCAAGUCAGCAUGGCCUUUAUGUCUGGGGCUACACACGUGCUACAAUGGCCGAUACAAACCGUCGCGAGCCCGCAAGGGGGAGCUAAUCGGAGAAAGUCGGUCUCAGUUCGGAUCGCAGGCUGCAACCCGCCUGCGUGAAGUUGGAAUCGCUAGUAAUCGCGGAUCAGCACGCCGCGGUGAAUACGUUCCCGGGCCUUGUA